Molecule: ribosomal RNA, 866 nt
Filed under: Salmonella enterica subsp. enterica serovar Typhimurium
Lineage: Bacteria; Pseudomonadati; Pseudomonadota; Gammaproteobacteria; Enterobacterales; Enterobacteriaceae
Description: partial 23S ribosomal RNA
Rfam family: Bacterial large subunit ribosomal RNA
Source: RNAcentral
AAAGCAUUAUCUGGUGUUGAAGGCCCUGCAAAGCAGCAUCGCGGUGGCGGAGCGUCGUUUGCGACGCCCAACACACAAAACAAGCGGUGAAUGCUUUGGGGUGGGGUGACUGCGUACCUUUUGUAUAAUGGGUCAGCGACUUAUAUUCUGUAGCAAGGUUAACCGAAUAGGGGAGCCGGAGGGAAACCGAGUCUUAAUUGGGCGUUAAGUUGCAGGGUAUAGACCCGAAACCCGGUGAUCUAGCCAUGGGCAGGUUGAAGGUUGGGUAACACUAACUGGAGGACCGAACCGACUAAUGUUGAAAAAUUAGCGGAUGACCUGUGGCUGGGGGUGAAAGGCCAAUCAAACCGGGAGAUAGCUGGUUCUCCCCGAAAGCUAUUUAGGUAGCGCCUCGUGAAUUCAUCUCCGGGGGUAGAGCACUGUUUCGGCUAGGGGGCCAUCCCGGCUUACCAACCCGAUGCAAACUGCGAAUACCGGAGAAUGUUAUCACGGGAGACACACGGCGGGUGCUAACGUCCGUCGUGAAGAGGGAAACAACCCAGACCGCCAGCUAAGGUCCCAAAGUCAUGGUUAAGUGGGAAACGAUGUGGGAAGGCCCAGACAGCCAGGAUGUUGGCUUAGAAGCAGCCAUCAUUUAAAGAAAGCGUAAUAGCUCACUGGUCGAGUCGGCCUGCGCGGAAGAUGUAACGGGGCUAAACCAUGCACCGAAGCUGCGGCAGCGAACGUAUCACCCAAGACAACUUUACGGAGUUGACGAUUGACGGAGCGAAGCGACGUCAAAGCGUUCAUUAAAGUCGAGUUGGCUUAGGGAUACGUUCGUUGGGUAGGGGAGCGUUCUGUAAGCCUGUGAAGGUGUGUCGUGAGGC